Molecule: ribosomal RNA, 332 nt
Filed under: uncultured bacterium
Lineage: Bacteria
Description: bacterial SSU rRNA
Rfam family: Bacterial small subunit ribosomal RNA
Source: RNAcentral
AUUGAACGCUGGCGGCAGGCCUAACACACGCAAGUCGAGCGGUAGAGAGGUGCUUGCAUCUCUUGAGAGCGGCGGACGGGUGAGUAAUGCCUAGGAAUCUGCCUAGUGGUGGGGGAUAACGUUCGGAAACGGACGCUAAUACCGCAUACGUCCUACGGGAGAAAGCGGGGGAUCUUCGGACCUCGCGCCAUUAGAUGAGCCUAGGUCGGAUUAGCUAGUUGGUGAGGUAAUGGCUCACCAAGGCGACGAUCCGUAACUGGUCUGAGAGGAUGAUCAGUCACACUGGAACUGAGACACGGUCCAGACUCCUACGGGAGGCAGCAGUGGGGAAU